This 53-nucleotide microRNA precursor is filed under the name Choloepus hoffmanni (Hoffmann's two-fingered sloth). Its description in RNAcentral is "miRNA (ENSCHOG00000014917.1)". The record is from RNAcentral. Lineage: Eukaryota; Metazoa; Chordata; Mammalia; Pilosa; Megalonychidae.
CGCCGGGGCUGGGCUGGGCUGGGCUGGGCUGGGGGACGGGGGCCUCCGCCUUC